GAAAAAAAAAGAGAGCUGCAGAAGCCUGCAGAAGGGAUGCUGGGGACAGAGGAGGAAUAUAGUCUGGUCCUUGAUGAUUAACGAUCACUGGACAGACCCGAAACCUGAAAUGACCAGACAGACCAGUGUCCAUGCUAAAGUUCCCGCAAGAUGGGAAUUGAAGAGAGACAAGCGAUGAAACAGCACGUGCUUUGGGAAGACAAAGACAAGGUGAACAUUCAGUGCUGGAGCCAAGAAAGGAACUACGUGCCCUGCAAAGAAUUUAGAGAAUGAAGGCAGCUGUUUGUAUGAGUUACUCUGCAGUGACUUUUGCUUCCAGAGGAAACUCUCCCUUUCAAUACUUGAAAUGGACUUUAUAUGGCAACACUGCCCACCGGUACUUCCCAGAGGAAUACAGAUACUUUCCUCAGGCAAGAAAUCCAGCAGAAUGUUUUUCUCCUAGGUUUUCAGGCUGAAGUAGCGGUGGAGAGAAAUUAAGCAAAUAACUCAGUCACUUGUUUAGCCGGUGGCAAUGCACUUCCCUUGGGGCAUUGCUAGUGCUUGAAGAUCAAUGUUCCCCUGUCCCAGUAUUACUCCAGCAAUGCAAUACUUAGGUAGGUUAUAGGCUGGUGUUCUUGACUGAUGCUGUUCAGAAAAAUUAUAUACCUUUUGUAUGGUAACUCACUUGAAUCAACACGCAGAAGAGCAAAGACUGAGGAUAAUUCUCUUUUGUGAUGACCUGGUCUUGUAACCUUCCCAACCUCAUUCUAGGAAGCUAAGUCAACACAUCAAAAUCUGAAAGAACUUGUUUCUCUCCAGUUUGUACACAGGAAGACUGCAAAAAUCAGAAUUAAGUAGACACUUGAAAUUAAAUUGGAUGAAAAAGAGCUAAUGCUCUAAACUGUCUCUUCUUUUCAUCUGCUGUGGCCUUUCCUCAGCAACAACACAAAGGAUGUGAUCCUCCUCCUGUCUCUAUGCACAAUUUAUUUCAUAGGUGCUUGCUCUGCAAGUUUUAAGGUAAAGCUUCACUGUUAAUUGUGAGUAUUUUCAAGGUUGCUGUUAUAGGAGCGUAUAGCACAUGCUUUACUGAAUGUAUC
This 1076-nucleotide long non-coding RNA is filed under the name Struthio camelus australis. Its description in RNAcentral is "lncRNA (ENSSCUG00000001752.1)". The record is from RNAcentral. Lineage: Eukaryota; Metazoa; Chordata; Aves; Struthioniformes; Struthionidae.